Molecule: long non-coding RNA, 787 nt
Filed under: Coturnix japonica (Japanese quail)
Lineage: Eukaryota; Metazoa; Chordata; Aves; Galliformes; Phasianidae
Description: lncRNA (ENSCJPG00005001236.1)
Source: RNAcentral
UGCUUUCAUCAUAAUUAGUGGAAGGAAUGGAUUUGUGGUUACUACUACACAGGUACGAGUGUACAGGUGAAAUCAGAUGGACUCAUCUGACCAGCACAGCUUCUUUCCACGCCAGCCACCUCUCAAGCAAAAUCUUCAUGCUGGUAGCUGAGUCUCUGUGGGUUCUUGAUGGGUUAUUAUCUACUCCUCCGACGUGGUUAAAGAUCCAGCUCUAGUUUUAGAGAAAUUUCUCACCAGUGGUAAUUAGCAGCAAGCUGAGCAGAGGAAAAAUAUGCUGACAGUAAGUAUGCUGAAAAAAUAUGGUUCUGAAGAAUGAAAGAGAACUCAAUGUUUGAAUUUAUUAUUCACUCCUGAAAUGCAAGAUCCUGUUCUGUUAUUUCGUAUUUUUAUAUUUCCUUUUAAAAUUUACCUUUUCUUAUAUUUCCACAUGAUGUGCUAUUUUUCCUUUAAAACUGGCUUACAUUUUGCUCUAAAAUGUAAGCCCUGAUUAUAUAGCAGAGAGCUAUAUCCAAAGUAAUCCAUUUUAUGACACAUUUAUGACAUUUUUUUUCCUUCAUCUUGCUAAUAAGUUUUGUUAUUUUUUUCCGGUAAAACUUCCUAUAUCCUGAUCAUUAACGUCUUCUUUUGCCUCCAUGAUAAGGGCAGAAAAUCUCUACAUGAGAAUACAAGUUGGUCAUGCUCUGGGAAGAAGUGGUUUGCUGCAGUCCUGGCUUGGGUGAGCAUUUGUCCUUACCAUAAAGCAACUGUUUCAUAUGUAGAUGUGUGGAAUAUAUUCACACAUUUAAAG